AGUCCUGGGGUGUCACACGCCAGAUUGCAAAUCUGGAGAAGUAGGCUAGCGCCUACCGGGACUU
This 64-nucleotide transfer RNA is filed under the name Callionymus enneactis (mangrove dragonet). RNAcentral describes it as "tRNA-Cys". The record is from RNAcentral. Lineage: Eukaryota; Metazoa; Chordata; Actinopteri; Syngnathiformes; Callionymidae.